Molecule: non-coding RNA, 85 nt
Organism: Podospora didyma
Lineage: Eukaryota; Fungi; Ascomycota; Sordariomycetes; Sordariales; Podosporaceae
Source: the annotation of a GenBank genome assembly
GCCCACGUAGCAUAGCGGCUAAUGCGUUGCACUUGUAUUCAAUCGUCACAUGCAAAGAUCGUAGGUUCAAGUCCUGCCGUGGGCA